Molecule: non-coding RNA, 267 nt
Organism: Pelobates cultripes (western spadefoot toad)
Lineage: Eukaryota; Metazoa; Chordata; Amphibia; Anura; Pelobatidae
Source: the annotation of a GenBank genome assembly
UCAUGCAAGCGGUUGGUAGUAAGUACUAUUAAGUACAACGUGCGCUGCGAUGUUGCAGCAGUGUUAUGGAGAUCUGAUUAGAUCCAGUCUGAUUGUCCUUGUCCUUGCCGCUUGGCUUGUGAAGUGUGGGAUGCCGUUUUCGUUGGUGUUACGUCUCCUGUGUUCUCUUCUACAUUGUGGUUGGGGAGCAUUCAUGUAGUCCCCCAUCUCGCCGUACCAGUCCUGUAUAGGGACAUCUUGUAGAUCCAGUGCUUGGAUGAAUGUUGG